GGGCGCAGCCAGAUGCAGCCAUGCCGCGUGUAUGAUGAAGGCCUUCGGGUUGUAAAGUGCUUUCAGGGGGAGGAAGGGAGUAAAGUUAAUACCUUUGGUCAUUGACGGUACCCGCAGAAUAAGCACCGGCUAACUCCGUGCCAGCAGCCGCGGUAAUACGGAGGGUGCAAGCGUUAAUCGGAAUUACUGGGCGUAAAGCGCACGCAGGCGGUUUGUUAAGUCAGAUGUGAAAUCCCCGGGCUCAACCUGGGAACUGCAUCUGAUACUGGCAAGCUUGAGUCUCGUAGAGGGGGGUAGAAUUCCAGGUGUAGCGGUGAAAUGCGUAGAGAUCUGGAGGAAUACCGGUGGCCGAAGGCGGCCCCCUGGACCAAGACUGACGCUCUCGUGUGCAAAAAACGUGGGGAACCAAACAGAAUUAAAUCC
Molecule: ribosomal RNA, 423 nt
Filed under: uncultured Escherichia sp.
Lineage: Bacteria; Pseudomonadati; Pseudomonadota; Gammaproteobacteria; Enterobacterales; Enterobacteriaceae
Description: bacterial SSU rRNA
Rfam family: Bacterial small subunit ribosomal RNA
Source: RNAcentral